UACGGAGGAUGCAAGCGUUAUCCGGAAUGAUUGGGCGUAAAGCAUCCGCAGGUGGCUGUGUAAGUCUGCUGUCAAAGAGCGAAGCUCAACUUCGUAAAGGCAGUGGAAACUACACGGCUAGAGUGCGUUCGGGGCAGAGGGAAUUCCUGGUGUAGCGGUGAAAUGCGUAGAGAUCAGGAAGAACACCGGUGGCGAAGGCGCUCUGCUAGGCCGCAACUGACACUGAGGGACGAAAGCUAAGGGAGCGAAUGGG
RNAcentral lists this ribosomal RNA (253 nucleotides) under uncultured bacterium. Its description in RNAcentral is "partial 16S ribosomal RNA". It matches the Rfam family "Bacterial small subunit ribosomal RNA", at positions 524 to 776 of the family's 1533-position model. The record is from RNAcentral.